Molecule: long non-coding RNA, 217 nt
Filed under: Homo sapiens (human)
Lineage: Eukaryota; Metazoa; Chordata; Mammalia; Primates; Hominidae
Description: non-protein coding lnc-ANKRD6-4:1
Source: RNAcentral
GGCAAAUAACAUAAGAGGACUAAGGACAGCCAAGCAUACAAUGAUGCAUGGCAGUGACAGCUGACCUCAACGUGGGGAAGACACAGGGGUUGUUGAGGGCUCAAGUAAGCUGGAGAGCAUGUGUCCUAUCAAAAGGAGGAAACUACUAUUCAGCUACAGUGCUGCUGACUGAAUGGGAAUGCAAGCCCACUUCGUGAAUUUUCCUGAAAAAAAAAAA